AUUGAACGCUGGCGGCAGGCCUAACACAUGCAAGUCGAGCGGCAGCGACUUAACUGAACCUUCGGGGAACGUUAAGGGCGGCGAGCGGCGGACGGGUGAGUAAUGCCUGGGAAUAUGCCCUGAUGUGGGGGAUAACUAUUGGAAACGAUAGCUAAUACCGCAUAAUCUCUUCGGAGCAAAGAGGGGGACCUUCGGGCCUCUCGCGUCAGGAUUAGCCCAGGUGGGAUUAGCUUGUUGGUGAGGUAAUGGCUCACCAAGGCAACGAUCCCUAGCUGGUCUGAGAGGAUGAUCAGCCACACUGGAACUGAGACACGGUCCAGACUCCUACGGGAGGCAGCAGUGGGGAAUAUUGCACAAUGGGGGAAACCCUGAUGCAGCCAUGCCGCGUGUGUGAAGAAGGCCUUCGGGUUGUAAAGCACUUUCAGUAGGGAGGAAGGUAGUGUAGUUAACACCUGCAUUAUUUGACGUUACCUACAGAAGAAGCACCGGCUAACUCCGUGCCAGCAGCCGCGGUAAUACGGAGGGUGCGAGCGUUAAUCGGAAUUACUGGGCGUAAAGCGCAUGCAGGCGGCCUGUUAAGUCAGAUGUGAAAGCCCGGGGCUUAACCUCGGAAUUGCAUUUGAAACUGGCAGGCUAGAGUCUUGUAGAGGGGGGUAGAAUUUCAGGUGUAGCGGUGAAAUGCGUAGAGAUCUGAAGGAAUACCAGUGGCGAAGCGGCCCCCUGGACAAAGACUGACGCUCAGAUGCGAAAGCGUGGGGAGCAAACAGG
This 768-nucleotide ribosomal RNA is filed under the name uncultured bacterium. Its description in RNAcentral is "bacterial SSU rRNA". It matches the Rfam family "Bacterial small subunit ribosomal RNA", at positions 28 to 776 of the family's 1533-position model. The record is from RNAcentral.